GGGGCCUACGGGAGGCAGCAGUGGGGAAUUUUGGACAAUGGGGGCAACCCUGAUCCAGCCAUUCCGCGUGUGCGAUGAAGGCCUUCGGGUUGUAAAGCACUUUUGGCAGGAAAGAAAUCGCACCGAUUAAUACUUGGUGUGGAUGACGGUACCUGCAGAAUAAGCACCGGCUAACUACGUGCCAGCAGCCGCGGUAAUACGUAGGGUGCAAGCGUUAGUCGGAAUUACUGGGCGUAAAGCGUGCGCAGGCGGUUUGUUAAGACAGUUGUGAAAUCCCCGGGCUCAACCUGGGAACUGCAAUUGUGACUGGCAGGCUAGAGUUUGGCAGAGGGGGGUGGAAUUCCUGGUGUAGCAGUGAAAUGCGUAGAUAUCAGGAGGAACACCGAUGGCGAAGGCAGCCCCCUGGGCCAAGACUGACGCUCAUGCACGAAAGCGUGGGGAGCAAACAGGAUUAGAUACCCUGGUAGUCCACGCCCUAAACGAUGUCUACUAGUUGUUGGGUCUUCAUUGACUUAGUAACGAAGCUAACGCGUGAAGUAGACCGCCUGGGGAGUACGGCCGCAAGGUUAAAACUCAAAGGAAUUGACGGGG
RNAcentral lists this ribosomal RNA (591 nucleotides) under uncultured beta proteobacterium. Its description in RNAcentral is "bacterial SSU rRNA". It matches the Rfam family "Bacterial small subunit ribosomal RNA", at positions 334 to 918 of the family's 1533-position model. Lineage: Bacteria; Pseudomonadati; Pseudomonadota; Betaproteobacteria. The record is from RNAcentral.